CCUACGGGGGGCAGCAGUGGGGGAUAUUGGGCAAUGGGCGCAAGUCUGACCCAGCAACGCCGCGUGAAGGAAGAAGGCUUUCGGGUUGUAAACUUCUUUUAGGAGGGAAGAGCAGAAGACGGUACCUCUUGAAUAAGCCACGGCUCACUACGUCCCAGCCGCCGCGGUAAUACGUAGGUGGCAAGCGUUGUCCGGAUUUACUUGGUGUAAAGGGCGUGUAGCCGGGCUGACAAGUCAGAUGUGAAAUGCCGGGGCCCAACCCCGGACCUGCAUUUGAAACUGUUGGUCUUGAGUAUCGGAGAGGCAGGCGGAAUUCCUAGUGUAGCGGUGAAAUGCGUAGAUAUUAGGAGGAACACCAGUGGCGAAGGCGGCUUGCUGGACGACAACUGACGGUGAGGCGCGAAAGCGUGGGGAGCAAACAGGAUUAGAUACCCCUGUAGUC
This 442-nucleotide ribosomal RNA is filed under the name uncultured bacterium. RNAcentral describes it as "partial 16S ribosomal RNA". It matches the Rfam family "Bacterial small subunit ribosomal RNA", at positions 338 to 795 of the family's 1533-position model. The record is from RNAcentral.